AGCUAGGCAGUUUGGAGCAUGCUCAUUAUUCUGAAUGCCGUGGGGAGUUUGCAGUGGGGCAGGCCGGUGGUGGUGAAUUCUAGACGGGGAGGAGGUAGGGAGGUUCGUCGUGUUAAAAAAGAAACGACAGGUCCAAAACGGAGACGCUUGUGCUAAGCCUCACAGCAGCAAACCAAGACUAAAUUGCAAUUUCAACCUCCUGCAGGAUGUGACCUUUAACCAGGCCAUCUGGAAUUACCUGGUCAGCACCGGUACGGUGAGCUGCAUGACAGACCCCCGCCUUCCCCCAAAGGGAGGGGCGCUUCAGUGCACAAGCUCUGGAUUCGAGCGCAGCUCCCGCUCGGAUGAGCCAUGCGGCUUCAGUUGCUUCACUAUGGAGUGCAGGUCUUCAGACGUACAAGGAGUUUCCCGCGUCCCUAAGUAUGACUGUCAUACCUGCCAAUAGACGGGCUCCCCUUCCAGCAACAGGACGAGUCAGGGACUCCCUCACCCACCCCCUUGGUCCUCUGCCCAGUGCGCUGGUUGGCUGUUCAGAGAGUAACACCUGGAAGCCGCUGUGCAAUAAUCAGUGUGUCUCCUAACCACACUGUUCGUGUUCUGGGUCGUGGAUACGGGCACCUGGCUGCCUGGAAACACAUGUCCCUGACCCCACAGUGACCACCGUGCAGUAGAGAAGAGGCCACCUCAGGCGCCUCUGUCUGAGUCUGCAGCCAGCCUCUCACGUGGCCAGGAGGCAGCCCAGAGGCCUCGUUCGAAGGUCUCCCCUGGCAUCUCUACUCCCAUCACUGGCCACCAUCAUCUUGAAAUGCCACAGGCCUGAAGACCAGCCAAAGCUUUCUUCUUCCAGGGUGUGUUUUUGCCUCGUGAAACCGAAGGACGCAACAAGGCCAAAGAUAAGAGGCUGCCAGCGUCUGUGUUACUUCAGGCCAGGGGGUCUCACGCUUGGCUCGACUGACGUUAGGGGGUGUGUAGUUCCUGGCUGUGGGCCUGUCCUGUGCACUGUUGGGUGCUGAGCAGCACCCCUGGCCUCCACCCGCAGAUGUCAGUAGCAUCCCCCAGUUGUGACAACUGAAAUGCCUCCAGACAUUUGAAAUGUCCCCUGGGGGACAAAAUCCGCCCUGGUUGAGGACCACCGCCCUAGGCCGUGGAUUUGGCUUCAGUCCUGGAAAUCGGAAAGGGACAGUGUACAUGUGUGCAUUCGGCGCAUGGAGGGACUUCUAAGGGGCCCGUUGGCACGAGUCCUGGUUCUCUCCACCUUCUGCUGCGGGCUCUUCAUCAAGGGACAGGAGAGGCCGAUCAGAUACAUCACUAGGUUGCUGUGGAUGACAGUCCGACCCAAGAAACGAAGAAUCCAGGCUUUCUAAAGCACAAGAGAAGAAAAAGGCUCAGCUCUCCUGUGUUCCUUAAUCCGUAUUUUUAUUGUGGUGCCUCAGCUCCUCAACAAAACAAAUAUUCGGAGAAGAGCAGCGUGAGUUCGAUCAGUCUUGAGCCCGGGCCCUGCUGUAGGCUCUGUGAAAAGAGACAUGAACAAAGGGACAAGCAUCUCUGUCCUCCGGGCCCUGUGCUCUGGCAACGACAAGUAUGGCGUCGUGCAUAAUAUUAUAAAUUCUUGCUCCUGCUGCCGC
This is a long non-coding RNA of Equus quagga, 1625 nucleotides long. RefSeq lists it as uncharacterized. The transcript has 3 exons. The record is from RefSeq and is a predicted model, not a curated record. Lineage: Eukaryota; Metazoa; Chordata; Mammalia; Perissodactyla; Equidae.